GUCUCAGUUGCACAGUGGUUAAUGCACAGCCCUGGAAAGGAUGAGACGUGGGUUCGAUUCCUGCCUGAGAUG
Molecule: transfer RNA, 72 nt
Filed under: Nippostrongylus brasiliensis
Lineage: Eukaryota; Metazoa; Nematoda; Chromadorea; Rhabditida; Heligmosomidae
Rfam family: tRNA
About the family: Transfer RNA (tRNA) molecules are approximately 80 nucleotides in length.
Source: Rfam by way of RNAcentral